This 474-nucleotide ribosomal RNA is filed under the name uncultured bacterium. Its description in RNAcentral is "bacterial SSU rRNA". It matches the Rfam family "Bacterial small subunit ribosomal RNA", at positions 29 to 507 of the family's 1533-position model. The record is from RNAcentral.
AUGAACGCUGGCGGCGUGCUUAACACAUGCAAGUCGAGCGGAGAUAAGAGGGAGCUUGCUCCCAAUUAUCUUAGCGGCGGACGGGUGAGUAACGUGUGGGUAACCUGCCUUAUACUGUGGAAUAAUCAUGAGAAAUCGUGACUAAUACCGCAUGUGGUCUUCGGAAGGCAUCUUCUGAAGAAGAAAGGAUUUAUAUUCGGUAUAAGAUGGACCCGCAUCUGAUUAGCUAGUUGGUGAGAUAAUAGCCCACCAAGGCGACGAUCAGUAGCCGACCUGAGAGGGUGAUCGGCCACAUUGGGACUGAGACACGGCCCAAACUCCUACGGGAGGCAGCAGUGGGGAAUAUUGCACAAUGGGGGGAACCCUGAUGCAGCAACGCCGCGUGAAGGAAGACGGUUUUCGGAUUGUAAACUUCUAUCAAUAGGGACGAAAGAAAUGACGGUACCUAAAUAAGAAGCCCCGGCUAACUACGUG